CCUACGGGUGGCAGCAGUGAGGAAUAUUGGUCAAUGGACGAGAGUCUGAACCAGCCAAGUAGCGUGAAGGAUGACUGCCCUAUGGGUUGUAAACUUCUUUUAUAUGGGAAUAAAACGUUCCACGUGUGGGAUUUUGUAUGUACCAUAUGAAUACGGAUCGGCUAACUCCGUGCCAGCAGCCGCGGUAAUACGGAGGCUCCGAGCGUUAUCCGGAUUUAUUGGGUUUAAAGGGGGCGUAGGUGGAUUGUUAAGUCAGUUGUGAAAGUUUGCGGCUCAACCGUAAAAUUGCAGUUGAAACUGGCAGUCUUGAGUACAGUAGAGGUGGGCGGAAUUCGUGGUGUAGCGGUGAAAUGCUUAGAUAUCACGAAGAACUCCGAUUGCGAAGGCAGUUCACUGGACUGCAACUGACACUGAGGCUCGAAAGUGUGGGUAUCAAACAGGAUUAGAUACCCUGGUAGUC
Molecule: ribosomal RNA, 460 nt
Filed under: uncultured bacterium
Lineage: Bacteria
Description: partial 16S ribosomal RNA
Rfam family: Bacterial small subunit ribosomal RNA
Source: RNAcentral